This 435-nucleotide ribosomal RNA is filed under the name uncultured soil bacterium. RNAcentral describes it as "bacterial SSU rRNA". It matches the Rfam family "Bacterial small subunit ribosomal RNA", at positions 26 to 502 of the family's 1533-position model. The record is from RNAcentral.
AGAACGAACGCUGGCGGCAUGCCUAAUACAUGCAAGUCGAACGAACACUUCGGUGUUAGUGGCGCACGGGUGCGUAACGCGUGGGAAUCUGCCCUUGGGUUCGGAAUAACAGUUGGAAACGACUGCUAAUACCGGAUGAUAUCGAAAGAUCAAAGAUUUAUCACCCAGGGAUGAGCCCGCGUAGGAUUAGCUAGUUGGUGAGGUAAAGGCUCACCAAGGCGACGAUCCUUAGCUGGUCUGAGAGGAUGAUCAGCCACACUGGGACUGAGACACGGCCCAGACUCCUACGGGAGCAGCAGUAGGGAAUAUGGACAAGUGGGCGCAAGCCUGGAUCCAGCAAUGCCGCGUGAGUGAGUGAAGGCCGUUAGGGUUGUAAAGCUCUUUACCCGAGAUGAUAAUGACAGUAGUCGGAGAACGUAACGCCCCGGACUAACC